CCUACGGGAGGCUGCAGUGGGGAAUAUUGGACAAUGGGGGCAACCCUGAUCCAGCCAUGCCGCGUGUGUGAAGAAGGCCCUCGGGUUGUAAAGCACUUUCAGUGAGGAAGAACGCCUGGUGGUUAAUACCCAUCAGGAAAGACAUCACUCACAGAAGAAGCACCGGCUAACUCCGUGCCAGCAGCCGCGGUAAUACGGAGGGUGCGAGCGUUAAUCGGAAUUACAGGGCGUAAAGCGCGCGUAGGUGGCUUGAUAAGCCGGUUGUGAAAGCCCCGGGCUCAACCUGGGAACGGCAUCCGGAACUGUCAAGCUAGAGUGCAGGAGAGGAAGGUAGAAUUCCCGGUGUAGCGGUGAAAUGCGUAGAGAUCGGGAGGAAUACCAGUGGCGAAGGCGGCCUUCUGGACUGACACUGACACUGAGGUGCGAAAGCGUGGGUAGCAAACAGGAUUAGAUACCCCUGUAGUC
This 465-nucleotide ribosomal RNA is filed under the name Vreelandella stevensii. RNAcentral describes it as "partial 16S ribosomal RNA". It matches the Rfam family "Bacterial small subunit ribosomal RNA", at positions 338 to 795 of the family's 1533-position model. The record is from RNAcentral. Lineage: Bacteria; Pseudomonadati; Pseudomonadota; Gammaproteobacteria; Oceanospirillales; Halomonadaceae.